GACGAACGCUGGCGGCGUGCUUAACACAUGCAAGUCGAACGAAGAGCGAUGGAAGCUUGCUUCUAUCAAUCUUAGUGGCGAACGGGUGAGUAACGCGUAAUCAACCUGCCCUUCAGAGGGGGACAACAGUUGGAAACGACUGCUAAUACCGCAUACGAUCUAAUCUCGGCAUCGAGGAUAGAUGAAAGGUGGCCUCUACAUGUAAGCUAUCACUGAAGGAGGGGAUUGCGUCUGAUUAGCUAGUUGGAGGGGUAACGGCCCACCAAGGCGAUGAUCAGUAGCCGGUCUGAGAGGAUGAACGGCCACAUUGGGACUGAGACACGGCCCAGACUCCUACGGGAGGCAGCAGUGGGGAAUCUUCCGCAAUGGACGAAAGUCUGACGGAGCAACGCCGCGUGAGCGAUGACGGCCUUCGGGUUGUAAAGCUCUGUUAAUCGGGACGAAAGGCCUUCUUGCGAAUAGUGAGAAGGAUUGACGGCACCGGAAUAGAAAGCCACGGCUAACUACGUG
This 510-nucleotide ribosomal RNA is filed under the name uncultured bacterium. RNAcentral's name for it is "partial 16S ribosomal RNA". It matches the Rfam family "Bacterial small subunit ribosomal RNA", at positions 28 to 507 of the family's 1533-position model. The record is from RNAcentral.